This 281-nucleotide long non-coding RNA is filed under the name Marmota monax (woodchuck). Lineage: Eukaryota; Metazoa; Chordata; Mammalia; Rodentia; Sciuridae. The record is from RNAcentral.
CGCCGCCGCCGGGCGCUGAGCGUCGUACGGGGAGGAGGAGCGGGAGCUGGAGGAGGAGCCGCCGCCGCCGCCAGCUUCCUGCUUGACAUAACUCACUUCAAGAAGUGCACAAUGUCAGAACGUGGAAUUAAGUGGGCUUGCGAAUAUUGUACGUAUGAAAACUGGCCAUCUGCAAUCAAAUGCACUAUGUGUCGUGCCCAAAGACCUAGUGGAACAAUUAUUACAGAAGAUCCGUUUAAAAGUGGUUCAAGUGAUGUUGGUAGAGAUUGGGAUCCUUCCAG